Molecule: ribosomal RNA, 252 nt
Filed under: uncultured bacterium
Lineage: Bacteria
Description: partial 16S ribosomal RNA
Rfam family: Bacterial small subunit ribosomal RNA
Source: RNAcentral
UACGGAGGAUGCGAGCGUUAUCCGGAUUUAUUGGGUUUAAAGGGUGCGCAGGCGGUCUGUUAAGUCAGCGGCCAAAGCCCGGGGCUCAACCCCGGCCCGCCGUUGAAACUGGCAGUCUCGAGUUGGAGAGAAGUAUGCGGAAUGCGCGGUGUAGCGGUGAAAUGCAUAGAUAUCGCGCAGAACUCCGAUUGCGAAGGCAGCAUGCCGGCUCCACACUGACGCUGAGGCACGAAAGCGUGGGUAUCGAACAGG